AUUGAACGCUGGCGGCAGGCCUAACACAUGCAAGUCGAGCGGAUGAAGGGAGCUUGCUCCUGGAUUCAGCGGCGGACGGGUGAGUAAUGCCUAGGAAUCUGCCUGGUAGUGGGGGAUAACGUCCGGAAACGGGCGCUAAUACCGCAUACGUCCUGAGGGAGAAAGUGGGGGAUCUUCGGACCUCACGCUAUCAGAUGAGCCUAGGUCGGAUUAGCUAGUUGGUGGGGUAAAGGCCUACCAAGGCGACGAUCCGUAACUGGUCUGAGAGGGUGAUCAGUCACACUGGAACUGAGGCACGGUCCAGACUCCUACGGGAGGCAGCAGUGGGGAAUAUUGGACAAUGGGCGAAAGCCUGAUCCAGCCAUGCCGCGUGUGUGAAGAAGGUCUUCGGAUUGUAAAGCACUUUAAGUUGGGAGGAAGGGCAGUAAGUUAAUACCUUGCUGCUUUGACGUUACCAACAGAAUAAGCACCGGCUAACUUCGUG
Molecule: ribosomal RNA, 484 nt
Filed under: uncultured bacterium
Lineage: Bacteria
Description: partial 16S ribosomal RNA
Rfam family: Bacterial small subunit ribosomal RNA
Source: RNAcentral